Molecule: ribosomal RNA, 468 nt
Filed under: uncultured bacterium
Lineage: Bacteria
Description: partial 16S ribosomal RNA
Rfam family: Bacterial small subunit ribosomal RNA
Source: RNAcentral
GACGAACGCUGGCGGCGUGCUUAACACAUGCAAGUCGAACGGAAAGGCCCAGCUUUUGUGGGGUGCUAGAGUGGCGAACGGGUGAGUAACACGUGAGUAACCUGCCCUUGACUUGGGGAUAACUUCAGAAAACUGGGGCUAAUACAGAAUAGGAGCUCCUGCAGAAGGGUGGGGGUUGGAAAGUUUCGGAGGUUGUGGGUGGACUCGGGGCUAAUUAGCUUGUGGGGGGAGUAGUGGCUUACCAAGCCUUUGACGGGUAGCCGGCCUGAGAGGGUGACCGGCCACAUUGGGACUGAGAUACGGCCCAGACUCCUACGUGAGGCAGCAGUGGGGAAUAUUGCACAAUGGGCGGAAGCCUGAUGCAGCAACGCCGCGUUCGUGAUGACGGCCUUCGUGUUGUAAACCGCUUUCGCCUGUUACGAUGCUUGAGUGACGUUAAUGGGUAAAGAAGCACCGGCUAACUACGUG